This 76-nucleotide transfer RNA is filed under the name Acidobacteriota bacterium. RNAcentral's name for it is "Acidobacteria bacterium tRNA-Lys". It matches the Rfam family "tRNA". Rfam says of the family: Transfer RNA (tRNA) molecules are approximately 80 nucleotides in length. The record is from RNAcentral. RNAcentral also lists the same sequence under 2 other names. Lineage: Bacteria; Pseudomonadati; Acidobacteriota.
GGGCCGGAAGCUCAUCAGGAUGAGUUCUCGACUUUUAAUCGAGGGGUAGUGGGUUCGACUCCCACGCGGCCCACCA